RNAcentral lists this ribosomal RNA (245 nucleotides) under uncultured bacterium. Its description in RNAcentral is "partial 16S ribosomal RNA". It matches the Rfam family "Bacterial small subunit ribosomal RNA", at positions 527 to 771 of the family's 1533-position model. The record is from RNAcentral.
GGAGGAUGCGAGCGUUAUCCGGAUUUAUUGGGUUUAAAGGGAGCGUAGACGGUUGUGCAAGUCUGGAGUGAAAGGCGGGGGCUCAACCCCCGGACUGCUUUGGAAACUGUAUAACUGGAGUGCAGGAGAGGUAAGUGGAAUUCCUAGUGUAGCGGUGAAAUGCGUAGAUAUUAGGAGGAACACCAGUGGCGAAGGCGGCUUACUGGACUGUAACUGACGUUGAGGCUCGAAAGCGUGGGGAGCAA